Small nuclear RNA from Globicephala melas (long-finned pilot whale), 107 nucleotides. Lineage: Eukaryota; Metazoa; Chordata; Mammalia; Artiodactyla; Delphinidae. The record is from RefSeq and is a predicted model, not a curated record.
GUGCUCUCUUCGGCAGCACAUAUACUAAUAUUGGAACAACACUGAGAAGAUUACCAUGGCCCCUGCACAAGGAUAACACGCAAAUUAAUGAAGCAUUCCAUAUUUUU